AAAAAUUAAAUCUCUCUCUCUCUCUCUCUCUCUCUCUCUAUAUAUAUAUAUAUAUAUAUAUAUAGAGAGAGAGAGAGAGAGAGAGAGAGACAUUAUAUAAG
This 101-nucleotide microRNA precursor is filed under the name Marmota monax (woodchuck). Lineage: Eukaryota; Metazoa; Chordata; Mammalia; Rodentia; Sciuridae. The record is from RNAcentral.